RNAcentral lists this unclassified non-coding RNA (839 nucleotides) under Hevea brasiliensis (rubber tree). The record is from RNAcentral. Lineage: Eukaryota; Viridiplantae; Streptophyta; Magnoliopsida; Malpighiales; Euphorbiaceae.
AAGAAAUUAAAGGGUGAGGAUGCUCUGCUUUAUGAUAACAAAAGGACCCUUUUUGUGGGUAACCUCCCAUUUGAUGUGAAGGAUGAAGAAAUUUAUCAGCUUUUUUCUGAUAUCAAAGAUCUUGAGUCUAGUAUUGAAGCUGUUCGGGUUGUUAGGCAUCCUCAUAUUGGUCUGGGGAAAGGUAUCGCAUAUGUAUUGUUUAAAACAAGGGAAGCAGCAAAUUUGGCAUUGAAGAAAAGAAACUUGAAGAUUCGAAAUCGAGAGUUGAGGCUCUCUCAUGCCAGACAAGAUAGUACACCAUCUAAGAGAAAGAAGUCUUUCACUGCUGACUCACCAACCAAGAGAUUGGCAGUCGAUUUGAGGACUCCUGACAGAAACAGUGGAUCAAAUACAAAGGAUUCUUCCAUUUCCUACCAGGGUUUUCGUGCUAGCAAAUCUGGCGUUCAAAAGAAAUUGAACAAUCCAAAACGCAAUCGAGCCCUAAGGAUGAAAUCCAAGAAUCAGCAAGGAGAGAAGAGCAAGGAAAAAAGACCAGCUGUUGCAGCAAGAAAGGCAAAAGCAAAAGCACGUCAAGAUAGUGGCACUGCAAAACAAGCAGGUCAAAAGCGCAAGCUGGAUAGCCGGACUCCACAAAGUUUCAACGCGAAGAAGAAAGCCAGAAAAUUUAGGUAGUAACACAAGAAAUGCUUCGUAGUCAUGCGUUACUCAUCUUCUUUACAUUUAUGUUGGUUUGCUUAUUUAGUGUAUUUCGUGUGAAAGUGAAAUCAUAUGAUAUAUUUAUGUUUUUAAAAUAUUAUUAUUUUAAAUGUUCUUUGAAGUAAGUUGAAAGGAAUAUUUUC